This is a long non-coding RNA of Eucalyptus grandis, 255 nucleotides long. RefSeq lists it as uncharacterized. The record is from RefSeq and is a predicted model, not a curated record. The transcript is spliced from 3 exons. NCBI's taxonomy places the organism in Eukaryota, Viridiplantae, Streptophyta, Magnoliopsida, Myrtales, Myrtaceae.
CUGUUGGAGGCGGAGGCUGGAAGAGGGAGGUGAAGAGAUGGGGGAGUUUCAGAUCUAUUUCAAUGCGAAUUCUCCCAGAUGUAUCGUGUUUAACUUCUAACACUCUGCCUAUUUGUUGUACUGCUCUACUUAAGAGUUGUGGAGUGUUCCAUUCCAGAGUUUCAGAACGAAAUUUGAAGAUAUAGAUCCCACCAUCCCGAGAAGAGAUAUCAACAUGAUCCACCCGCCGGGCCUUCGUCAUUGCAACUUGAAAAG